Molecule: long non-coding RNA, 2592 nt
Filed under: Rosa chinensis
Lineage: Eukaryota; Viridiplantae; Streptophyta; Magnoliopsida; Rosales; Rosaceae
Description: sRNA RchiOBHm_Chr2g0163611
Source: RNAcentral
GUUAUAUGAAUUAACACCCGUGUACAGCCCGUCAUCUUUCUUAUAAACAAUGAUUUUACCGUUAUAAAGGACGUCCCGCUGAUAAUAAGAGUAAGGCACGUCGCAAGUUCCCUUAGUCGCCAUCAGGCUCACAGAUAUUGAAGUUUUUGCCGGCAUUGUAACCGUGUAGGUGGUCUCCAACGUGUUUUCGGAUGUAAUUGUCUCUCCCUACUCGUAUGAUCAGGAAUAUUCUGCGGAAGCAGUGACCUCAGUACCGCCGAUGAAUGGAACUUUGAAGCUGGCGAUGGUACUCACGCCAACCAUCCACGAGUGCGUGGCGCUCCACGUGCUGCUCUUACUCUCCGUGUCUGCAAACUUGAAUUCCACAGUGUUGUCUGCUGAGGUGUUGUUGCUGGCAUUUGCGAUGGCCAUGGUGACCGGGGUCUCGCCGUAGAUUAUGGCAUUCUUAAUGUCGAUGUCAGUGUUGUAGAUUCUCCUAGAGAGAACAAGCUCUUCCAGCGUGAAAACGACAACCUACAAUUUGAAACAUGCUUUGAUGUUGUAGAUACCUCUAGUAGCAAAGCUAGUUUGCUAUCUCACCAAGCAUAAUUAACACCCUCUUUGGGACACCCACAAGCCAUGGGGAGGCCCAACCGCUACUUGCAUCUUGUAGCCCUAUGUUCAAGCUACGCUACGGUAUCCGGAAGUCGCAAAUCCGUCACCGGGAAGCCACCUUUCUGGCCUUGCCAAGUUGCCUCCAUAAUAUGCAUUUCUAUACUAGAAUAGUUGUUUGCUUGUCCCACAUCUAAGAAAAUGUAAAGGAGAUGGCUUCCUUCACCUAUAAAAGGAAUGCCUCCUCCCACUUAAACACCAUUCAUUCAAUCCAAUCCCAUUACACACUUUGUAAUGCACUUGGGCCGCAAGGCUCAACACACUAGUACAACAUUCAAGUGGACGUAGUUUCCCGCUAAGGCGGGGAACGAACCACUAUACAUCUUGUGUCGUUCUCUCUCUCUCUCUCUCUCUUUACUUAUCGUUAAUUAGAUCCCCAACGGAUCCAAGCAUUAACAUUGGCGCCGUCUGUGGGAAGCCAACACAAUGGCUUCGUCACGUACCAUGAACUUCGGUAAACAUCAAAUUAGGGCUCGAUCAACGCCCGGCGGGGUCGGUCAACGCCCAUCAGGGGCCGGUCAACGUCUGGUCAACGCUGACCAAGGUUAGUCAACGCUGAACCUUAAAAAAAAAAAAAAAAAUCUGGGCGGCAAAAAUUUCUCUGGGCACCCAGACAUUUUUUCUGGACACCCAUCUUCUUCUUCUUCGCUGCGUUGUCUCCUUCCUCCGCUGCAGCUCCCUCCUCCAGCCACAUCCUCCGCUGGCUCAGGCAGACCUCCGCUCCGCCACACUCAAAGCUCCGCUCCGCCCAACUCGUAGCUCCGCCAGCCGCAACUCCGAGGCUCUGCCCAACCUGCAGCUCCAGGGCUCCGCCUAGCUUCGCCGCUGGGAUUUCCUCCGCCCAACUUGCAUCCCCGCCGAACCGGUGAUCCGCCGAACUGUAGCCCUCCUCCAAGCAAAAUACCGCCAUAACCCAGGCCUCCGCUAAACAAGACUGUCUUCGCUAGCUUGCCUCUGCUGGCCACGGACAGAUCACCGCUAACCAAAGCUUAGAGGACAGGCUCCAUCAAUGAGCCCCGCUCCGCCGAGCUGCUCCACCGCUGAACUCUCCUCCGCUGACCAUCUUGACCCACCGUGCAUAGCCUCCUCCGCUAAGCUUCAUCAGCGGGAAACUUCUCCGCUAGGCUUCGUCAGCAGGAAACAAAGCUCCGGUAGAUAUCCAUCAGCGGCACCGCUGACCUUCACCGCUGGGCAACCCCCGCUGACAUCCUCCUCCACUGGGCUUCACACCUGGGUGGUCUCCGCCGAGCAAUGAGCUCCGCUCCGCUAGACUAUCUCCGCUAGCCUGCCUCCGCCGGCCAUGGACAAGCUCCGCUGACCAAAGCUUAGCGGACAAGCUCCGCUGACCAAAUCGAGCUCCGCUCCGCCGGGAUCCAUCACUGAGAUCCUCCGCUAAACUUCAACACUGGGUUUCACCCUUCAUCGCUGACCGAGGUUCACUACUGCGCUCCGCCGAGCAGCACCACUGGUCAAACUCCAUCACCACCGCCCAACUUCCUCUGCUGGCACCAUCUCGGCUCGAUCCCCGACAACCCAGUCUGCCAGGAGCCACCGCUCAGCUCUCCUCCAGUAUCUGAGCUCCGCUCAGCCUAACCUCUCCUCCGCUGAGCUGCUCCACCGCCGAGUUUUCUCCUCCGAUCAGAUUUCUCCUCCGAUGGGCAUCAGCGCCAAGCUUCACUACCGCUGGACACUUAUUGCCUUGCAAAAACAGAAACGGGGGAUCUGCUACCUCAAAUCUGGUUUGCUGCUGCAAUUUGGAACAGCCGCCAAUUCGAUCCAUCUCAGAGCCCGCCCCGCGUGUCCGCUCAAUGGAGCUAAUUCGAACAUAUUGAUUUAAGCACCUGAUCUCAUCGGACUUCGUUCAUAGCCAAACUGAAAAAUAGCGAGAUAAGUCUUAAUCUCUCCUUAUCUGAUGCGAAUACCAUGUGCCUAGCAGAGCCG